UAUAUAGAUAAUGUGCCUUUUAGUCUGGGAUAGCCAUUGGAAACGAUGAUUAAUACUAGAUACUCCUUCUUACUCUAAUGUAAGUUGGGAAAGUUUUUCGCUAAAAGAUCAGUCUAUAUCCCAUCAGUUAGUUGGUAAGGUAACGGCUUACCAAGGCAAUGACGGGUAGCGGGUUUGAGAGGAUGAUCCGCCACACUGGUACUGAGACACGGACCAGACUCCUACGGGAGGCAGCAGUGAGGAAUAUUGCACAAUGGGGGAAACCCUGAUGCAGCAACGCCGCGUGGAGGAUGACGCAUUUCGGUGUGUAAACUCCUUUU
RNAcentral lists this ribosomal RNA (320 nucleotides) under uncultured Sulfurimonas sp. RNAcentral's name for it is "bacterial SSU rRNA". It matches the Rfam family "Bacterial small subunit ribosomal RNA", at positions 114 to 437 of the family's 1533-position model. Lineage: Bacteria; Pseudomonadati; Campylobacterota; Epsilonproteobacteria; Campylobacterales; Sulfurimonadaceae. The record is from RNAcentral.